This 2019-nucleotide ribosomal RNA is filed under the name Triticum aestivum (bread wheat). RNAcentral describes it as "partial small subunit ribosomal RNA". Lineage: Eukaryota; Viridiplantae; Streptophyta; Magnoliopsida; Poales; Poaceae. The record is from RNAcentral.
AUGGCGUCCGCUCCCCGCCGCCCCCUCCUCGUCCCCAAGCCAGAUCCCGACGCGCCCGCUCCCACCGCCGAGCUCUGCGCCGCCCUCCUCCGCCGGGUGUCCGCCAAGCCCGACCCCGACGCCGACGCGCUCCCGGCCCCGACCCAGACGACGCCGCUCACCCCCGACCUCUGUGCCGCGCUCCGCCGGCAGCUCGACCCCUCCCCCGACGACCAUGCCGACUUCGCCCACAGCCUCCGCCUCGCCCAGCGGCGCCUCGACGCCAUCUCCGCCAGCCUUUCCUCCACACCUCCCCAGCCAUCGCCUCCCCCACCUCCCCCUGCUCCGCGGAGCGCCAGUCUUUCCUCUACGCCUCCGCGGCCUCCGCCUGCACCGCGCAGCGCCGACCCGGCGCGGGCCUCUUCCUCGACUGCCACAGCCAGCGCCAAGGGCAAGAAGCGCGCGCGCGGCACCGCCGGCCCGGAGAUGGUGCGCGCCACCGUCACCGCGGAGGCCGACCACCUCGAGGUCCGCACACUGGUGCGCCGGGCGCGCCUCACCUUCGAGGCGGUCCGAGGGAUCUACCACCGCGGUGGCCGCAUGCGCGCCGACAUGACCGCCCUGAGCACGAUGCUCUCCCAGGGCCUCUGCCUCUACCGCGACGUGCGCAUCGUCGGCGCCAUCCCGGGCGUCUUCGUCGGCGACGUCUUCAGCUACCGCGCCGAGCUCAUCGUCGUCGGCCUCCACAACCAAACCCAGGCCGGCAUCGGCUUCAUCCCCGCCAACCUCGUCAGCGAGGGCCACCCCGUCGCCACCAGCAUUGUCUCCUCCGGCGGCUACCUCGACGACCACGACAACGGCGAGGUCCUUAUCUACACCGGCAGCGGCGGCCGCCCGCGACACGGCGUCGAGCACAACACCGACCAGGAAUUCGAGCGCGGCAACCUCGCGCUCGCCUACAGCCACAAGUACGGCGUCGAGGUACGCGUCAUCCGCUGCCACGACUGCGACACCAGCCCCAGCGCCAAGCUAUACGUCUACGACGGCCUCUACAAGGUCGACUCCAUCACCUACGGCCCCGGAAAGUCAGGCCACGAGGUCUGCAAGUUCAAGCUCGUGCGCAUCCCCGGCCAGGCCCCGCUCGGCAGCAAGAUCUGGCGCUCUGCCCGGGAUCUCACCAACAUGCUCGACUCCAACAUCCGGCCGCGCGGCUACGUCACGCGAGACCUGUCCAAGGGCAAGGAGCUGAUCCGUGUCCCCAUCUUCAACAAUGUGGAUCGAGACAUCUCUCCCCUCGGCUUCGAGUAUAUUUCCCGCCCUGACUUCCCGGUUCUGCCCAGGCCGGUGAGGCGUUUCAGGUGCUGCCAGUACGCGACGGCGGCGUGCGGCGGGUCGUCGUCAUCUGGCAGCUGCGCCUGCGUGAGGAAGAACGGCGGAGGCGGCCCGGCGUACAAUGCCGACGGCACGCUGGUCAGGGGAAGGCCGGUGGUGUACGAGUGCGGCGCCCAGUGCGGGUGCCCAGCGAGCUGCUCGAACCGGGUGACGCAGCGAGGGAUGCAGCACCGGCUGGAGGUGUUCCGGUCGAGGCAGACAGACUGGGGCGUCAGGGCACUGGACUUGAUCCAGCCGGGCGCCUUCGUCUGCGAGUUCAGCGGAGACGUGGUCACCGUGGACGACGACGGUCACCACGCAGGCAAUGCCGGCGGCGCGUCGACUGAAUGGGGCGGCAUCGUCGAUCCGAGGAAGUUUCCGGCGAGAUGGAGGGAGUGGGGAGACGCCUCCGCUGCCACGCUUCCGGACGACGCCGAGGAACCUCCCCGAUUCGCACAUUUGGCAGGGCCGCGCCCGCGCUACGUGCUCGACGUGUCCCGGAGGAGGAACUUCGCUCCCUACAUCAGCCACAGCAGCGCCCCGAACGUGUUCGUCCAGUUGGUGCUCCGUGCCGACGACAACGAGUCGUACCCUCGUCUGAUGUUGUUCGCCAUGGACACCAUCCCGCCGCUGCGGGAGCUGAGCAUCGACUACGGCAUCGGUCCGUGA